RNAcentral lists this ribosomal RNA (465 nucleotides) under Vreelandella stevensii. Its description in RNAcentral is "partial 16S ribosomal RNA". It matches the Rfam family "Bacterial small subunit ribosomal RNA", at positions 338 to 795 of the family's 1533-position model. Lineage: Bacteria; Pseudomonadati; Pseudomonadota; Gammaproteobacteria; Oceanospirillales; Halomonadaceae. The record is from RNAcentral.
CCUACGGGGGGCAGCAGUGGGGAAUAUUGGACAAUGGGGGUAACCCUGAUCCAGCCAUGCCGCGUGUGUGAAGAAGGCCCUCGGGUUGUAAAGCACUUUCAGUGAGGAAGAACGCCUGGUGGUUAAUACCCAUCAGGAAAGACAUCACUCACAGAAGAAGCACCGGCUAACUCCGUGCCAGCAGCCGCGGUAAUACGGAGGGUGCGAGCGUUAAUCGGAAUUACUGGGCGUAAAGCGCGCGUAGGUGGCUUGAUAAGCCGGUUGUGAAAGCCCCGGGCUCAACCUGGGAACGGCAUCCGGAACUGUCAAGCUAGAGUGCAGGAGAGGAAGGUAGAAUUCCCGGUGUAGCGGUGAAAUGCGUAGAGAUCGGGAGGAAUACCAGUGGCGAAGGCGGCCUUCUGGACUGACACUGACACUGAGGUGCGAAAGCGUGGGUAGCAAACAGGAUUAGAUACCCGUGUAGUC